UAGGGAAUAUUGCACAAUGGGCGAAAGCCUGAUGCAGCAACGCCGCGUGCGCGAUGAAGGCCUUCGGGUCGUAAAGCGCUUUUCGGGGAGAAGAGGAAGGACGGUAUCCCCGGAAUAAGGCUCGGCUAACUACGUGCCAGCAGCCGCGGUAAAACGUAGGAGCCAAGCGUUAUCCGAAUUCACUGGGCGUAAAGCGCGUGCAGGCGGCCUGGUAAGUUGGAUGUGAAAUCUCCUGGCUCAACUAGGAGAGGCCGUUCAAGACUGUCAGGCUAGAGGGCGACAGAGGGAGGUGGAAUUCCGGGUGUAGUGGUGAAAUGCGUAGAUAUCCGGAGGAACACCAGAGGCGAAGGCGACCUCCUGGGUCGCACCUGACGCUGAGAUGCGAAAGCUAGGGGAGCGAACGGGAUUAGAAACCCCGGUAGUCCUAGCCGUAAACGAUGUAGACUGGGUGUCGGCGGGGUAAAAGCCGUCGGCGCCGAAGCCAACGCGAUAAGUCUACCGCCUGGGGACUACGG
This 515-nucleotide ribosomal RNA is filed under the name uncultured Chloroflexota bacterium. RNAcentral describes it as "bacterial SSU rRNA". It matches the Rfam family "Bacterial small subunit ribosomal RNA", at positions 355 to 885 of the family's 1533-position model. The record is from RNAcentral. Lineage: Bacteria; Bacillati; Chloroflexota.